UGGAGGACCGAACCGACUAAUGUUGAAAAAUUAGCGGAUGACUUGUGGCUAGGGGUGAAAGGCCAAUCAAACCUGGAGAUAGCUGGUUCUCCCCGAAAGCUAUUUAGGUAGCGCCUCGGACGAAUACUACUGGGGGUAGAGCACUGUUAAGGCUAGGGGGUCAUCCCGACUUACCAACCCUUUGCAAACUCCGAAUACCAGUAAGUACUAUCCGGGAGACACACGGCGGGUGCUAACGUCCGUCGUGGAGAGGGAAACAACCCAGACCGCCAGCUAAGGUCCCAAAUUAUUACUAAGUGGGAAACGAUGUGGGAAGGCUUAGACAGCUAGGAUGUUGGCUUAGAAGCAGCCAUCAUUUAAAGAAAGCGUAAUAGCUCACUAGUCGAGUCGGCCUGCGCGGAAGAUGUAACGGGGCUAAGUAAUAAACCGAAGCUGCGGCAACAUAAUUUAUUAUGUUGGGUAGGGGAGCGUUCUGUAAGCGGUUGAAGGUGUGUUGUAAAGCAUGCUGGACGUAUCAGAAGUGCGAAUGCUGACAUGAGUAACGAUAAAGGGGGUGAAAAACCCCCUCGCCGGAAGACCAAGGGUUCCUGUCCAACGUUAAUCGGGGCAGGGUAAGUCGACCCCUAAGGCGAGGCCGAAAGGCGUAGUCGAUGGGAAACGGGUUAAUAUUCCCGUACUUCUUAUAAUUGCGAUGGGGGGACGGAGAAGGCUAGGUGGGCCUGGCGACGGUCGUCCAGGUUCAAGUACGUAGGCGGAAGGUUUAGGUAAAUCCGGACUUUCAUUAACGCUGAGAUACGAUGUCGAGCUACUACGGUAGUGAAGUCAUUGAUGCCAUGCUUCCAGGAAAAGCCUCUAAGCUUCAGAUUAUAAGAAAUCGUACCCCAAACCGACACAGGUGGUCGGGUAGAGAAUACCAAGGCGCUUGAGAGAACUCGGGUGAAGGAACUAGGCAAAAUGGUACCGUAACUUCGGGAGAAGGUACGCUCUUGGCGGUGAAGUCCCUUGCGGAUGGAGCUACUAGGAGUCGCAGAUACCAGGUGGCUGCAACUGUUUAUUAAAAACACAGCACUGUGCAAAAUCGUAAGAUGACGUAUACGGUGUGACGCCUGCCCGGUGCCGGAAGGUUAAUUGAUGGGGUUAGACUUCGGUCGAAGCUCUUGAUCGAAGCCCCGGUAAACGGCGGCCGUAACUAUAACGGUCCUAAGGUAGCGAAAUUCCUUGUC
RNAcentral lists this ribosomal RNA (1223 nucleotides) under bioreactor metagenome. Its description in RNAcentral is "bacterial LSU rRNA". It matches the Rfam family "Bacterial large subunit ribosomal RNA", at positions 767 to 1973 of the family's 2925-position model. The record is from RNAcentral.